Molecule: ribosomal RNA, 460 nt
Filed under: uncultured bacterium
Lineage: Bacteria
Description: partial 16S ribosomal RNA
Rfam family: Bacterial small subunit ribosomal RNA
Source: RNAcentral
CCUACGGGUGGCAGCAGUGAGGAAUAUUGGUCAAUGGGCGCGAGCCUGAACCAGCCAAGUAGCGUGAAGGAUGACUGCCCUACGGGUUGUAAACUUCUUUUAUAAAGGAAUAAAGUGAGGCACGUGUGCCUCUUUGUAUGUACUUUAUGAAUAAGGAUCGGGUAAAUUCGUGCCAGCAGCCGCGGUAAUACGGAGGAACCGAGCGUUAUCCGGAUUUAUUGGGUUUAAAGGGAGCGUAGAUGGGUUGUUAAGUCAGUUGUGAAAGUUUGCGGCUCAACCGUAAAAUUGCAAUUGAUACUGGCAGUCUUGAGUACAGGUGAGGUAGGCGGAAUGCGUGGUGUAGCGGUGAAAUGCUUAGAUAUCACGAAGAACUCCGAUUGCGAAGGCAGCUUACUAAACUGCCACUGACAUUGAUGCUCGAAAGUGUGGGUAUCAAACAGGAUUAGAUACCCGGGUAGUC